CUACGGGCGGCACCAGUGGGGAAUAUUGCACAAUGGGGGGAACCCUGAUGCAGCAACGCCGCGUGGAGGAUGACGCAUUUCGGUGUGUAAACUCAUUUUAUAUGUCAAGAAAAUGACGGUAGCAUAUGAAUAAGCACCGGCUAACUCCGUGCCAGCAGCCGCGGUAAUACGGAGGGUGCAAGCGUUACUCGGAAUCACUGGGCGUAAAGGACGCGUAGGCGGGUUGGAAAGUCAGGUGUGAAAUCCUACAGCUUAACUGUAGAACUGCACUUGAAACUUCUAAUCUAGAGUAUGGGAGGGGGAGAUGGAAUUAGUGGUGUAGGGGUAAAAUCCGUAGAUAUCACUAGGAAUACCUAAAGCGAAGGCGAUCUCCUGGAACAUUACUGACGCUAAGGCGUGAAAGCGUGGGGAGCAAACAGGAUCAGAUACCCCCGUAGUC
RNAcentral lists this ribosomal RNA (439 nucleotides) under uncultured bacterium. RNAcentral's name for it is "partial 16S ribosomal RNA". It matches the Rfam family "Bacterial small subunit ribosomal RNA", at positions 339 to 795 of the family's 1533-position model. The record is from RNAcentral.